GUCCAGACUCCUACGGGAGGCAGCAGUGAGGAAUAUUGGUCAAUGGGCGCGAGCCUGAACCAGCCAAGUCGCGUGAGGGAUGACGGCCCUACGGGUUGUAAACCUCUUUUGUCGGGGAGCAAAUUCCGCCACGUGUGGCGGAGUCGAGAGUACCCGAAGAAAAAGCAUCGGCUAACUCCGUGCCAGCAGCCGCGGUAAUACGGAGGAUGCGAGCGUUAUCCGGAUUUAUUGGGUUUAAAGGGUGCGUAGGCGGACUGUCAAGUCAGCGGUAAAAUUGCGGGGCUCAACCCCGUACUGCCGUUGAAACUGCAUCCCUUGAGUGCGCGAGAAGUAUGCGGAAUGCGUGGUGUAGCGGUGAAAUGCAUAGAUAUCACGCAGAACUCCGAUUGCGAAGGCAGCAUACCGGCGCGCAACUGACGCUCAUGCACGAAAGCGUGGGUAUCGAACAGGAUUAGAUACCCGAGUA
This 466-nucleotide ribosomal RNA is filed under the name uncultured bacterium. RNAcentral describes it as "bacterial SSU rRNA". It matches the Rfam family "Bacterial small subunit ribosomal RNA", at positions 329 to 792 of the family's 1533-position model. The record is from RNAcentral.